RNAcentral lists this long non-coding RNA (254 nucleotides) under Lathyrus oleraceus (garden pea). RNAcentral's name for it is "Pisum sativum (pea) long non-coding RNA (PSAT_LNC005670)". The record is from RNAcentral. Lineage: Eukaryota; Viridiplantae; Streptophyta; Magnoliopsida; Fabales; Fabaceae.
UGAGUCAUACUAACCCAUUUGCUGUUUUGUAGGUUUCAGUAUUCAACCGGUACGCAUAGCUCGUCUGUUCAGAUAACCUGCUGAGGGUCAACAAAUCCAAGCUGAUGGAUCUUCUCAACGCCGACGUCCUUGAGCUGAAAGGGAUGAUGAGGGAGUUGUUCAGCGUUGUGCAAGGGUUUGCCUCGGGGCAGAAAGCCAUGUCCGAAAGACUGGAAAGGAUUGAGAAACGGUUGAUAAUGGAGAAAGUUCAGGAG